CCUACGGGAGGCAGCAGUAGGGAAUAUUGCUCAAUGGGGGAAACCCUGAAGCAGCAACGCCGCGUGGAGGAUGAAGGUUUUCGGAUUGUAAACUCCUUUUGGUAGAGAAGAUAAUGACGGUAUCUAACGAAUAAGCACCGGCUAACUCCGUGCCAGCAGCCGCGGGAAUACGGAGGGUGCAAGCGUUACUCGCAAUCACUGGGCGUAAAGAGCGCGUAGGCGGGAUAGCAAGUCAGAUGUGAAAUCCUAUGGCUUAACCAUAGAACUGCAUUUGAAACUGUUAUGCUAGAGUAUGGGAGAGGUAGGUGGAAUUCUUGGUGUAGGAGUAAAAUCCGUAGAGAUCAAGAGGAAUACUCAUUGCGAAGGCGACCAGCUAGAACAUAACUGACGCUGAUGCGCGAAAGCGUGGGGAGCAAACAGGAUUAGAUACCCCUGUAGUC
Molecule: ribosomal RNA, 440 nt
Filed under: uncultured bacterium
Lineage: Bacteria
Description: partial 16S ribosomal RNA
Rfam family: Bacterial small subunit ribosomal RNA
Source: RNAcentral